Molecule: signal recognition particle RNA, 299 nt
Filed under: Aotus nancymaae (Ma's night monkey)
Lineage: Eukaryota; Metazoa; Chordata; Mammalia; Primates; Aotidae
Description: Metazoan signal recognition particle RNA (ENSANAG00000010697.1)
Rfam family: Metazoan signal recognition particle RNA
About the family: The signal recognition particle (SRP) is a universally conserved ribonucleoprotein.
Source: RNAcentral
GCCAGGCAUGGUGGCAUGUGGCUAUAGUCCCAGCUACUCGGGAGGCUGAGGUGGGAGGGCUGCUUGAGCCGAGGAGUUCUGGGCUGUAGUGCGCUAUGCCUAUCGGGUGUCUGCACUAAGUUCGGCAUCAAUAUGGUGACCUCCUGGGAGCAGGGGAACACCAGGUUGCCUAAGGAGGGGUGAACCGGCCCAGGUGGGAAACGGAGCAGGUCAAAACUCCCGUGCUGAUCAGUAGUGGGAUCGCGCCUGUGAACAGCCACUGCACUCCAGCCUGGGCAACAUAGUGAGACCCCAUCUCU